AUUGAACGCUGGCGGCAUGCUUUACACAUGCAAGUCGGACGGCAGCACAGAGAAGCUUGCUUCUUGGGUGGCGAGUGGCGAACGGGUGAGUAACAUAUCGGAACGUACCGAGCAGUGGGGGAUAACUAAUCGAAAGAUUAGCUAAUACCGCAUAUAUUCUGAGGAAGAAAGCAGGGGACCAUUUGGCCUUGCGCUGUUUGAGCGGCCGAUAUCUGAUUAGCUGGUUGGUGGGGUAAAGGCCUACCAAGGCGACGAUCAGUAGCGGGUCUGAGAGGAUGAUCCGCCACACUGGGACUGAGACACGGCCCAGACUCCUACGGGAGGCAGCAGUGGGGAAUUUUGGACAAUGGGCGCAAGCCUGAUCCAGCCAUGCCGCGUGUCUGAAGAAGGCCUUCGGGUUGUAAAGGACUUUUGUCAGGGAAGAAAAGGACAGGGUUAAUACCCCUGUCUGAUGACGGUACCUGAAGAAUAAGCACCGGCUAACUACGUGCCAGCAGCCGCGGUAAUACGUAGGGUGCGAGCGUUAAUCGGAAUUACUGGGCGUAAAGCGGGCGCAGACGGUUACUUAAGCAGGAUGUGAAAUCCCCGGGCUCAACUUGGGAACUGCGUUCUGAACUGGGUGACUAGAGUGUGUCAGAGGGAGGUAGAAUUCCACGUGUAGCAGUGAAAUGCGUAGAGAUGUGGAGGAAUACCGAUGGCGAAGGCAGCCUCCUGGGAUAACACUGACGUUCAUGCCCGAAAGCGUGGGUAGCAAACAGG
Molecule: ribosomal RNA, 759 nt
Filed under: uncultured Neisseria sp.
Lineage: Bacteria; Pseudomonadati; Pseudomonadota; Betaproteobacteria; Neisseriales; Neisseriaceae
Description: bacterial SSU rRNA
Rfam family: Bacterial small subunit ribosomal RNA
Source: RNAcentral